AGUCUCUGGCUCUCCCUGCCUUUCAGCCCAGCCUCUCUCCACUUCCGUCUCUCCUGUCUAAGGAACUGCAGUCCCAGCUCGAGACCCCCAGUAGGAGACCCCAGGCUGCGCUCUACUUAUUCCCACCCCGUGGGGCUCCUUCGAGACACCCGCGCCCUUCCGGGACCCUAGCCCGUCCCUACCUCCAUCCUGGUCUCGAGGGGCGCCCCAGCUAAGCCGGGCAGCGUCCUGGCCGGGACUGGGCAGCAGGGAGUACAGAGUCGCGGGACCGCUCCUCGGGCUGGACCCUUCUCCAGACCAAAGACGGCGCCUGGGGCGGGGAGAGACGGACCCCCCUUCAUGGAGACAGACACACGCUGACUCCGAUUGACCCAGGUCCCCAACUUCCCCUCAGCAUUAACUAGAACGCUCUCCCCUUUCCAGUGGAGGGCGUCCCACCCUUCUUCCCGGCCCUUCUUUUAACCCACUUCCCCUGGGAGUUUCCGGGACCCCUCCCCUCAAUCCUCCCAUCCCCGGGAUCUCGGGAGACUGUUCCUCCCUCUCUGCUCAGCUGACCCUCCACUUGCCCCCAUUUCUGAGGGAGGAUUGGAGGUCUGGACUCUCAUAUGCUUCUGGGGUAACACAGAGCCAGAAGGAGUCUGGAUUUUUCCUUGAAUGACCUGAAGUCAGCACCGCUCCAGUCCUAAACUAAGGACUGAGUUCCAACUGACUGAAAACCAAAUUAAAAGAGGAGCCUUGCUCCCUUCCUUGUGCUCAGCGUUGAGACCCUGCCACCGCCUCAGCGGUCGUCCCUGCCCUGUCCGCCCCGGGCUGCACCCUGCAAGGCUCCUGCUGUUGUCCCCGGAGCAUGGGAGGCUGCUGGGCAUGAGUGGCUUGGUCCUGCGGAAGCUGCGUGGCAGGGAGGGGGUCCAUGGCUGCAACCAACAAAGGCAGCAAGCCCAGAUUCCGGAGUAUCCACUUUGUGACAGGCCACGAUGCAGAGGGCUCCCAAAGCCACGUCCACUUUGAUGAGAAGUUGCAGGACUCGGUGGUCAUGGUCAUCCAGGAGAGGGACAGCAGCUUUCUGGUCAAGGUUCCUGAAGAUCCUGCACAGGUAUGAGAUUACCUUUGCUCCGUCCCAGUGCACAGGCUGAGCAAGGACGUCCGCCAGGCACUUGUCCCCAGCCUGCACCUGAAGCUUCUCAGCGUCCUACCCUUCCCUGAAGGUUAUAGUGUCAAGUGCGAGUACUAGGCGCACAAAGAAGGGGUCCUCAAAGAGGGGAUGCUACUAGUCUGGGAAGGUGGCACCAGCACCUGCGUGCGCGGAAGGUGCAAGCCUGCAUCAUGGGCUGACGCCAUGGCACAUGCAUGCUGCUGGACGGUGUCAAAUGCAUGGGUGCCAAGCUGGAAUACUACUCGGAGCACAGCGACUGGCACGGCUUUGACUGAGGCCCGAGGUCCUGCCUGCCCUGGGCUGCCCUGCCUGCCCUGGGCUGCUCAGCCUUAAACCCUGCCUUGUUCCCCCAUACCCGACAUGCUGCCUGAUGGUGUGGCUUCCUUGCCCCUCUCCAGGGUGGGUGGGAUGGAGUGGCCUUGCCCACGCCUGUCACCUCUGCCUUCAUUCAAGCCACCACCCUGCCUCUCCUGCAUCCUCCUCUUCCACUUCCUCCUCUCCGUGUGCCUCAGUCUCCUGCCAGAAGAAAUGGCUUGAGCCCUCAAGGAGGCUGUCUGAGGAAGGAAGGGGAGGGCCUGGGGUGGGUACUCCCACUCCCCACCCCAAGCCAUAGGGGCUCCAGCCAGGGUCUGGGAGAGGACGGAGCUGGUUCUCUGAGGUCGUGGCCCCGUUACCUCUGCUGCUGCCUUGCUUCAGCCGCCUCUCCUGCCCCUCCCUCGUUCGCACUGCUGUCCUCCAUGAGUAGCAGGGAGGUGCAGUCCCCAGCUCCUACCCCUCAGGUCUGUGUUACUUGAUUUUUAAGCGAGUGGUUGGGAUAGAAUCCUAAAGAAAUAAAACUUCCAGUGUGGGGGCGGGGUGGGGGGGAGACGACCCUUGUCCCCAGUGUUACUCCCAAACAUUUGUGUGAUAUGCCGGCAAGGAUCAGGGAGAUAACCGAUUUCAGUUAUCUGCACUCACAUACAGGCCCUUUGAGGCUUGUGAGAUGAGAAAGUUUGAUAUUGUUAAUCUUUUCAGUCUCUCUCACCUCUUACACACAUAUACAGAGCUGGCUUCCUGGACCACUUCUGGAAAGAGCAAAAUCUACUUUUUCCAUGGCAACUAUUUAGCCAAGGAGACUGGGAGUAAAAGGGAGGAUGUCCCUAUGACCCUCUCCUUACUACUCUAAAAUAUCUUUUUUUUUUCUUUUGAGGUGGAGUCUUGCGCUGUUGCCCAGUCUGGAGUGCAGUGGCGUGAUCUCGGCUCACUACAUCUUCCGUCUCCUGGGUUCAAGCGAUUCUCGUGCCUCAGCCUCCUGAGUAGCUGGGGUUACAGGUGUGUACCACCACACCCAGCUAAUUUUUGUAUUUUUAGUAGAGACGGAGUUUCGACAUGUUGGCCAGGCUGGUCUUGAACUCCUGCCCUCAAGCCAUCCACCCACCUUGGCCUCCCAAAGUGCUGGGAUUACAGGUGUGAGCCACCAUGCCUGGCCUUUUUUUUUUUUUUUUCUUUUUUGAGUAAAAUAUCUUAAAGAAAAGUGUGGGCAUCAUGAUAGUCCACCAAGAAAUACUUCAGUAGUAUCACUCAGAAAGAACAUAUUUCAACCACCAUAUGAUCUGGCAAUCCCACUAUUGGGUAUAUAUCUGAAGAAAUAAAACCAGUAUGUUGAAGAGAUAUCUGCACUCCCAUAUUUAUUGCAGCUUUAUUCACAAUAGCCAAGAUAUAGUAACUGGGCACAGUGGCUCACAUCUAUAGUCCCAGCUACUCUGGAAAGCUGAGGCAGGAGGAUUGCUUGAGUCCAGGAGUUGGAAGCUGCAGGGCACUAUGAUCAUGCCUGUGAAUAGCCACUGCCCUCCAGCCUGGGCAACAAAGCAAGAUCUGUCCUUAUUAAAAAAAAAAAAAAAAAAAAAAAAAAAAAAAAAAAAAGGCCAGGCGCAGUGGCUCAUGCCUGUAAUCCCAACACUUUGGGAGGCCAAGACAGGCAGAUCACAAGGCCAGGAGUUCAAGACCAGCUUGACCAAUAUGGUGAAACCUCGUCUCUACUAAAAAUACAAAAAUUAGCCUGGCGUGGUGGCGAGCGCCUAGCUACUCACGAGCCUGAGGCAGGAGAAUUGCUUGAACCCAGGAGGCAGAGGUUGCAGUGAGCCAAGGUUGUGCCACUGCACUCCAGCCUGGGCGACAGAGCGAGACUCCGUCUCAGAAAAAAAAAACAAAAAAAACAAAAAACAACACACACAAUAGCCAAGAUAUGGAAUCACCCUGAGUGUCCAUCAACAGAAAAAUGGAUAAAGAAAAUGCAGUAUACAGUAUAUAUAUUAUGUAAUAAUAUUCAGCCAUAAAAAAGAAUGAAAUUUUGCAAUUUAUGGCAAUAUGGAUGAACCUGGAGGAUAUUAUGCUAAGUGAAAUGAGCCCAGCACAGAAAGACAAAUGCCAUGUGAUCUCUUUUUUUUUUUGAGACGGAAUCUCUCUGUCACCUAGGCUGGAGUGCAAUGGUGUGGUCUUGGCUCACUGCAACCUCCACCUCCUGGGUUCAAAUGAUUCUCCUGCCUCAGCCUCCCAAGCAGCUGGUACUACAGGUGCAUGCCACCACACCCGGCUAAUUUUUGUAUUUUUAGUAGAGACGGGG
This 3755-nucleotide long non-coding RNA is filed under the name Homo sapiens (human). RNAcentral's name for it is "non-protein coding lnc-ADCY6-1:2". The record is from RNAcentral. Lineage: Eukaryota; Metazoa; Chordata; Mammalia; Primates; Hominidae.